RNAcentral lists this ribosomal RNA (498 nucleotides) under uncultured bacterium. Its description in RNAcentral is "partial 16S ribosomal RNA". It matches the Rfam family "Bacterial small subunit ribosomal RNA", at positions 30 to 523 of the family's 1533-position model. The record is from RNAcentral.
AUUGAACGCUAGCGGCAGGCCUAAUACAUGCAAGUCGGACGGGAUUGUGGAGCUUGCUUCACAUGAGAGUGGCGCACGGGUGCGUAACACGUAUGUAACCUACCCUUGUCAGGGGGAUAGCCUCUCGAAAGAGAGAUUAAGACCGCAUAACAUUGUUUUGUGGCAUCACAGAACAAUCAAAUAUUUAUAGGACAAGGAUGGGCAUGCGGAACAUUAGCUAGUUGGUAAGGUAACGGCUUACCAAGGCUACGACGUUUAGGGGAUCUGAGAGGAUGGCCCCCCACACUGGUACUGAGACACGGACCAGACUCCUACGGGAGGCAGCAGUAAGGAAUAUUGGUCAAUGGGCGGAAGCCUGAACCAGCCAUGCCGCGUGCAGGAAGACGGCCCUACGUGUUGUAAACUGCUUUUACAGGGGAAUAAACCUCGGUACGUGUACCGAGCUGAAUGUACUCUGAGAAUAAGGAUCGGCUAACUCCGUGCCAGCCGCCGCGGUAA